Molecule: ribosomal RNA, 327 nt
Filed under: Triticum aestivum (bread wheat)
Lineage: Eukaryota; Viridiplantae; Streptophyta; Magnoliopsida; Poales; Poaceae
Description: partial small subunit ribosomal RNA
Source: RNAcentral
AUGCAGUUUCUUAUGUCUUAUCUUGGCUCUUUCUGCUACUUUCUUGGGAUUGAGGUCCCUUCUUGCUCAAAAAUAAUAAUCCAGGAUCUUACUCGUGCUACUCUUACCGAUGAGCGCACUGAUGUUGAUUCAUUGUCUAAUCUAACACUUUGUCGACAUUUUGUUGGGAGUCUUUUCUAUCUGCCUGACACUCGCCCGGAAGAAGAAACAGACUGCAGUGCCCCCCCCCCCGUUCGAGUGCACCUCUUCCCGCGGCGCCGUCGCUCCACUUUCCUACUGUACCCUCCACUAUAUGUGCUACUGAUGUUGAUCCAUUGUCUAAUAUGA